Molecule: ribosomal RNA, 431 nt
Filed under: uncultured bacterium
Lineage: Bacteria
Description: bacterial SSU rRNA
Rfam family: Bacterial small subunit ribosomal RNA
Source: RNAcentral
GGGCCCGCACAAGCGGUGGAGUAUGUGGUUUAAUUCGAUGCAACGCGAAGAACCUUACCAGGGUUUGACAUCCUGCGAAUCUCUUGGAAACAGGAGAGUGCCUUCGGGAACGCAGUGACAGGUGGUGCAUGGCUGUCGUCAGCUCGUGUCGUGAGAUGUUGGGUUAAGUCCCGCAACGAGCGCAACCCACGUCUUUAGUUGCCAGCAUUUAGUUGGGUACUCUAGCGAGACUGCCGGUGCAAACCGUGAGGAAGGUGGGGAUGACGUCAAGUCAUCAUGCCCCUUACAUCCUGGGCUACACACGUACUACAAUGCUACGGACAAAGGGCAGCAAACUCGCGAGAGCUAGCAAAUCCCAUAAACCGUGGCUCAGUUCAGAUCGUAGGCUGCAACUCGCCUACGUGAAGGAGGAAUCGCUAGUAAUCGCAGGU